Molecule: ribosomal RNA, 374 nt
Filed under: uncultured prokaryote
Description: bacterial SSU rRNA
Rfam family: Bacterial small subunit ribosomal RNA
Source: RNAcentral
UACGGAGGGUGCGAGCGUUAAUCGGAAUUACUGGGCGUAAAGGGUGCGUAGGUGGUUGACUAAGUUAUUUGUAAAAUUCCCGGGCUCAACCUGGGGUGGUCAGAUAAGACUGGUUGACUCGAGUAAGGGAGAGGGUAGUGGAAUUUCCGGUGUAGCGGUGAAAUGCGUAGAGAUCGGAAGGAACACCAGUUGCGAAGGCGGCUACCUGGCCUAUUACUGACACUGAGGCACGAAAGCGUGGGGAGCAAACAGGAUUAGAUACCCUGGUAGUCCACGCCGUAAACGAUGUCAACUAGCUGUUUCUCAUAUAAAGAUGGGGGGUGGCGCAGCUAACGCGAUAAGUUGACCGCCUGGGGAGUACGGUCGCAAGAUUA